ACGAGUUUGAUCCUGGCUCAGAUCAACGCUGGCGGCGUGCCUCAGACAUGCAAGUCGAACGAUUAAAGCUCUCUUCGGAGAGUGCAUAGAGUGGCGCACGGGUGAGUAACACGUAAGUAAUCUACCUUCGAGUGGGGAAUAACGUCCGGAAACGGACGCUAAUACCGCAUAAUGCAGCGGCAUCGUAAGAUGACAGUUGUUAAAGAUUUAUCGCUUGAAGAGGAGCUUGCGGCAGAUUAGCUAGUUGGUAAGGUAAUGGCUUACCAAGGCUACGAUCUGUAACCGGUCUUAGAGGACGGUCGGUCACACUGACACUGAAUAACGGGUCAGACUCCUACGGGAGGCAGCAGUCGGGAAUUUUGGGCAAUGGGCGAAAGCCUGACCCAGCAACGCCGCGUGAAGGAUGAAGUAUUUCGGUAUGUAAACUUCGAAAGAAUAGGAAGAAUAAAUGACGGUACUAUUUAUAAGGUCCGGCUAACUACGUG
RNAcentral lists this ribosomal RNA (485 nucleotides) under uncultured bacterium. RNAcentral's name for it is "bacterial SSU rRNA". It matches the Rfam family "Bacterial small subunit ribosomal RNA", at positions 1 to 507 of the family's 1533-position model. The record is from RNAcentral.